RNAcentral lists this ribosomal RNA (253 nucleotides) under uncultured bacterium. RNAcentral describes it as "partial 16S ribosomal RNA". It matches the Rfam family "Bacterial small subunit ribosomal RNA", at positions 524 to 776 of the family's 1533-position model. The record is from RNAcentral.
AACGUAGGGGACAAGCGUUAUCCGGAUUUACUGGGCGUAAAGCGCCCGUAGGAGGCCUGACAAGUUGGACGUGAAAGCUCCUGGCUUAACUGGGAGAGGCCGUUCAAAACUGUCAAGCUAGAGUCUGGAAGAGGAGAGCGGAAUUCCCGGUGUAGUGGUGGAAUGCGUAGAGAUCGGGAGGAACACCAGUGGCGAAAGCGGCUCUCUGGUCCAAAACUGACGCUGAGGGGCGAAAGCGUGGGGAGCGAACGGG